GUGCUCACAUAGUCCUCACAUUCUAAAAUUGGAAUGAUACAGAUUAGCACUGUCCUUGUGCAAGAAUGACACACAUGUUCAUGAAGCAUUAAUGGAUGUU
This 100-nucleotide small nuclear RNA is filed under the name Carlito syrichta (Philippine tarsier). The record is from RNAcentral. Lineage: Eukaryota; Metazoa; Chordata; Mammalia; Primates; Tarsiidae.